GACGAACGCUGGCGGCGUGCCUAACACAUGCAAGUCGAACGGGUGGAAGACUUAAAUACUUAGUGGCGGACGGGUGAGUAACGCGUGAGGAACCUGCCUUUCAGAGGGGGACAACAGUUGGAAACGACUGCUAAUACCGCAUAAAGUUAUUUGGGGGCAUCCCUGGAUAACCAAAGAUUUAUCGCUGAAAGAUGGUCUCGCGUCUGAUUAGCUGGUUGGUGAGGUAACGGCCCACCAAGGCGACGAUCAGUAGCCGGUCUGAGAGGAUGAACGGCCACAUUGGGACUGAGAUACGGCCCAGACUCCUACGGGAGGCAGCAGUGGGGAAUAUUGGGCAAUGGGGGAAACCCUGACCCAGCAACGCCGCGUGAAGGAAGAAGGCCCUCGGGUUGUAAACUUCUUUUAGCAGGGACGAAAAAAUGACGGUACCUGCAGAAAAAGCAACGGCUAACUACGUG
This 458-nucleotide ribosomal RNA is filed under the name uncultured bacterium. RNAcentral's name for it is "bacterial SSU rRNA". It matches the Rfam family "Bacterial small subunit ribosomal RNA", at positions 28 to 507 of the family's 1533-position model. The record is from RNAcentral.